UCUUAGCUUGCUAAGGCCGAUGGCGACCGGCGCACGGGUGAGUAACACGUAUCCAACCUGCCGUCUACUCUUGGACAGCCUUCUGAAAGGAAGAUUAAUACAAGAUGGCAUCAUGAGUCCACAUGUUCACAUGAUUAAAGGUAUUCCGGUAGACGAUGGGGAUGCGUUCCAUUAGAUAGUAGGCGGGGUAACGGCCCACCUAGUCUUCGAUGGAUAGGGGUUCUGAGAGGAAGGUCCCCCACAUUGGAACUGAGACACGGUCCAAACUCCUACGGGAGGCAGCAGUGAGGAAUAUUGGUCAAUGGGCGAGAGCCUGAACCAGCCAAGUAGCGUGAAGGAUGACUGCCCUAUGGGUUGUAAACUUCUUUUAUAAAGGAAUAAAGUCGGGUAUGUAUACCCGUUUGCAUGUACUUUAUGAAUAAGGAUCGGCUAACUCCGUGCCAGCAGCCGCGGUAAUACGGAGGAUCCGAGCGUUAUCCGGAUUUAUUGGGUUUAAAGGGAGCGUAGAUGGAUGUUUAAGUCAGUUGUGAAAGUUUGCGGCUCAACCGUAAAAUUGCAGUUGAUACUGGAUAUCUUGAGUGCAGUUGAGGCAGGCGGAAUUCGUGGUGUAGCGGUGAAAUGCUUAGAUAUCACGAAGAACUCCGAUUGCGAAGGCAGCCUGCUAAGCUGCAACUGACAUUGAGGCUCGAAAG
RNAcentral lists this ribosomal RNA (692 nucleotides) under uncultured Bacteroidales bacterium. Its description in RNAcentral is "bacterial SSU rRNA". It matches the Rfam family "Bacterial small subunit ribosomal RNA", at positions 73 to 759 of the family's 1533-position model. Lineage: Bacteria; Pseudomonadati; Bacteroidota; Bacteroidia; Bacteroidales. The record is from RNAcentral.